CUGCCUGCCUCAGUCUCCCAAAGUGCUGGGAUUACAGGCAUGAGUCACCGUGCCCGGCCUCCUCUCUCUUCUUAGCCACUGUUUUCCCCCGUAAGCCUGAAGCAGUUCCUGGCACUUGUUCCCAUGGGGAAGCGUCUGUGUAAGGGUAUGCUUCACCAGCACUGCCAAGGAAGUAGACUUUUCACUUUCUCUGGAUUUUUCUCUGCAACACCCUCUGAUCCCAUUGCCCCCAGAAUAGUAGGAAUUUUGAGUGAUACCUAGAUAGGAAAGCUCUUAGGAUUAAUGAAGAAACUGAGAUUUUCUUGGUGGGAGUUUGUGCUUUUAAAGGGAGUUGUUGCAAUUCAAUGGAACUCUGUAAUAACCACUGAAACUGUUACACAUUAGGCUUACUGACCCUAUCUCCUAUAACCCAUGAAAUAAAGACCUGAUAGUCACAUAGUUGUUUGCUAUUUGGGAGGAUCCUAAAAGUACAGCCUGAACAGUGACCCAAACCACAGCUGGCCUUGCCCAUGCUGAUGUGAGGAAGGAAUGGGUGGGGGCAACUAAGAAAUUGGGGGACAGAGUUCUCUGUGCUAGGUAUCCUAGGACAAGCCACCCAGCCACACAGAGACCCCCCGCUUCCCCCCCACAGAACAGUUCUGGAUGAUAAAAUGCCUGCCUGGAAUGGAGAAUCAGAUGAGAAGAUGUUUGCAAAGGGGUUUGAGAUCAGUUAGCGGGUGGUGAUGACAAUGUUGAUACCGUGGGUGUGUGACUGCCAGGAGCUGUGAAGCAGAGGGUGGAGUGUGCGGUGGUCAAAGCCUGGUUCUGGGAUCUCUAGCUUUCCAGGGGCUUAGGCUCCGCCUUAGCAGAAAAGAAGGAAAGGAAAUUGAGAAGGAAGUCAGGUGUCCCCUGCCCCUCACACUUGGGGAUGGCUGACUUGGAGGACAGUGGGGAAGGAGUGGUGAUAACAGAUGUGAGCUUGCUGUGUCCACUAAAAAGGUCACGGCUAUUUUUAGGAAGUAGGUGACAAGGCAUGUUCCUGUAGAACUGCUUAUUACUGAGAACCCACUGUUGGCCUCGCCCUGCGUGGUGUGCUUAAAAGGAGAGACCGCCCCCACUCACCCUAGAGUCAUCCACCUGGUGUCCCUGAGACAUGGGACACUGGAUGAGGACCAGGUUUGGAGGAUGAAGAAGAUCAUGUAUUUGGUUUUGGACAUGUUGUGUUUGAGGUGUCUUUGAGAUACCAAAUAAGCUGGUGGGUCUGGGGCUCAGGAGGCGUCUUGGCUAGACAGACAUUUGUCUAGGUUGUGUUUGUAUUUGAAGUCAUGGGCACAGCGAGAUUGAAGAACUCACCUCGAACAGCUGAGUAAAGGAAGAUGAGCCUAUAAAGGACCCAGAAAAAGAGCGACCUGAGAGGGGCCCAGAAAGCCAGGACAGAGUUGUAUCCCAGGGGCCAGGGUGAGUCUGCUUCGUGGGAUGGAGUGGUCAGCUUGGCAUCGCGGCUGUGGUGAGUGAUAUGGAGGAGAUGUGGCUGCCUUCACUGCUUUGGUGGGAUGAUGUGAGCAGAAGCGAGGUUGGAGUGAAUGGGUGAGGAGUAGCAGGACGUGAGGAUCUGAUGAUAGACAGGCUCUGAAAUGUUGGCUUUGA
Molecule: long non-coding RNA, 1626 nt
Filed under: Homo sapiens (human)
Lineage: Eukaryota; Metazoa; Chordata; Mammalia; Primates; Hominidae
Description: HSALNT0165270
Source: RNAcentral